Molecule: long non-coding RNA, 4645 nt
Filed under: Triticum aestivum (bread wheat)
Lineage: Eukaryota; Viridiplantae; Streptophyta; Magnoliopsida; Poales; Poaceae
Description: long non-coding RNA (TAES_LNC000525)
Source: RNAcentral
AGAUACGUGAUGUCUGUGCCAACUCGUCCAGUAUUUCUGUUGCACAAGCUGGCAAUUCAUUAGGCGCAAACAAUCUCAUACUCAUUUUUGUUUAUUAUUUUAGGGAAUGAUCAUAGAUUUUUUUUUAGUGGACGGGAAUCACCGUAGAUAGUUUUUUCUGGGCCAUCACUCUUAUCUCCCAUGGUUUUUUUUUGAGAAAUUCUUAUCUCCCAUGUGUUGUUCCCUUGCAGUUGUAGCUGCAGAGUUAACAUCCAUGGCCCAUGAUGAACUGAGCGCUUUGGCUGCCUGAUGGGAGAAAUUGUUCGCCUGCAGUUUUAACCACGUGUUGUUGCAUAAGAUGAGUGCGACAUUAUUUUGCAUAAAGGUAAAAAAAAACUAUACAUAUCAGCUUAGGAACGAUCAGCGACACCAAUCAGCCAAACAAAGUUGAUUUGAGGGGGACGCGAUCAGCUCCCCUUCCAGACAUGGCAAAGAGAGGUUUACAACUCAGUUGGCUUGCAUGUUGCAUCACAAGUCGAUGUCUGUUUGGCGAGCCUUACACCCCGGAGCGGGCGCAAGAAACACCGCACAACUAUAAGUUAAUACCCAGUUGUAAUAUAUUUAUGCUUCCUAAUACAAAUAUCUGAAACAAAAGAUUGCCAAACUACCAACGGCUGAAUUAUUCUGAAUGUACAGAUAAAAACAAGCACUAAACCAUAAUAGGUGAAUCUAUUCUCUCGGAAGCAAUUUACAUCUUGGAGGCAGCCAUCACAACCAACUGUUAAGCACCCUUCCAGGUGCUUUAGUUUCCAGCCAAUGAUCAUCAUGAACCUAAUGUUGGGGCGGCUUCCUUAACAGAUAGAUAACCACUGCAGCAAGCAAAACAAGUGGUGUCAGAUGAAAGAGAGUAGAGUUGCGUUUUGUGCAAACUAUUAUAGAGUAUUUCAGAGUUGCAGAUUUAACAAGCCCGCUAUUGUAAAAACUCCAAUGUAGGUUGAACAAUUUCACAUAACCAUACUGAAACCCAGCCUUGGUGAAGUCUCAAAUAGCUAGGUGCAAGACAGGCGGGCCAUGUUUCUCAAGUAUGGUAGCUAGGGAUUCUCAUACAAUUCGAGCCAUCAAAGAAAAACAUUCUAGAGAUUCUAGUGGUUGCACAUACCAUAAGAGUCAACCCUUAAUUCAAGAGAUUUGAGAUACAACAGUGUAUUCAACUGUUUUGAUGUCAAAGAAUAACUAUAUCUUAAGUUAUGCGAUGAAUUUGUUCAAAAUGCUGACAGUUUUGUGAAAUUUACUGAAGAAAGAGGAAGCAUGAAACAUGCAUAGCAUCAAGAGAAUCUGCUAUGAUUCAGCACAGAUACGUAUUUUUCAUUCACUUGCUAAAAGGGCAGAAGAUUCAUGAAGAGGACUAUACAAACCACUGAAAAGAAGAAGAGAAGGGGUACUAAUUUUUAGGGCUGUCUAAGAUUGUCUGAAUUUGCCUCACAUAUAACAUGCUUGUCAGUACAACAAAAUUACCUCAUGGAGCAAUACCCAUUGCCGAAAAUUGCCUGAUCUUCAGUUUCAGGUGUCCCCAUUAUGGUACUGAUGAUGUAAAGGGGAAGAGCGUCAGGAAAAGAAUAUGAUGAUUGAAGAUUGCUAUACAGAACUGUAUCAUGUUUAGCUUCAAAAUCGAAGUAUAGGGUUGUAAUGGCAAGUGAUGGUAUGAUAGGUUACCUGGGGUUGCAUAUAACCCAUCCCUUGGGCGUAAGCUCCAUGCUGAACCAUCUAAAAGAAUAUGAGCAAGUCAGUUUCAAGCAACAUUAGGAGCAAAGGAACCCAAGUUGCAAAUACUAACCGCUUGGGCGUUUGAGCUAGUCGCACCACUAUGAGCACCAAUUAUAUCUUUCUUCACGGAUCCUUCACCAGAUUUUGAGGUCAAUUUACUAUCACCCUACAGGAAAGUAAUAGACAAGAGAGUCGUUAAUAUUCAGUACAUACUGUUCACAUAAAGCACACAAGAUAGAAACAGAAGCUUGCAAGGCCAUAAUGCAGUCCAACAAAAUGAGUGGGAAGUAUGUACCAACUUAAGUAUUAGAGAGCAAUCAUGCAACCUUGCUUAGAAGUUAGAACUAGUUUAUUGCUUGAAAGCUGGAACAGCCUUCAUGAAUGCAACUAAGUUUCUUUCACGGUAUAUGAAACUGGAAAGCAUGCGGGUUUUAUUCAGGUGUUCACGCGAGGAACUUGCAAGCUUCAAAGUACAUAGGUCAUGUGUAUUUCACAUCAAGUGACAACUAUAUACCUGAUUAAAGGGACACAGCUCAAAGGAUCUAACGCAGGUUAUGUGGCCUAAGUAGGCAGGAUCUAACCCUUUUGUGGUUAUGUUUAAACUAGGACUUAGAGGAAACUGCAUUUUGUUUUGCAUUGGUAUGAAACGUAUCAGCGAAUCAAUAUCAUGUAUGUCGAAUUGAUUACAAGAUCACAUACCUCCAUCUGCAAUCACCGCGCCCGUCCAGAAAAUUGCAAGGAAGACAGAGAAGAAGCGAGGUGAGAUGAUGACACAAAACAAGAGAAUUAUUGUCAUUUGCAGCAAGUACUGACAGUGAGCAAGAGCCAUGAUUACAUCUCUGUACUUUUGCAGGUAGAUCUUGAGGGGGUCUACGUACUCCUCGAAUCCGAGCGUGGCCAUGGCCCAGAGCAGAUCGUCCCCGUUGAUGGUCUUGCGCUUCUCCUUCUGGCACUUGUCGCUGGCCCUACCAAACCAAACCAAACCACAGCGAAAAGUCACAACUCCGGCCACCCAAGACAAACAAAACCAGCCCGGCCGAGUUCGUUCGAGGCCGAGGUUCGAAGGCCAGGUGGCAUGAUGACGGUGGCAGCGAGCAGCUAGCGGCGGGCAACUCACUCGCUGGUGACGAAGGAGAUGAACUCGGAGACGCACUCCUGGAGGGUCUCCUUGGCGUCCUUGGCGAUCUUGCCGUUGGCCGGCACGGCCUUCUUCAUGAUGCGGCUGAUGUUGGCGAUGGGGAGGAAGCGGUCCUGCUCCCUGACCCCGCCGCCGCCCCGGGGGCUCCCGCUGUCGUCGUCGGCCAUCCCGCGCCCCGAAACCCUAGAUCCAUCGCGAGCAAAUCAGGACACGGAUCCACGGCGCGCGAUCGAGAGGGGAUGGGAGGGUAGGGAUCGAAAUCAAACGCACCUUAUAAAAAACGCGCGCGCGGGGGGGGAGGAGCGGAGGGGAGAGAAGGGAGGGGGGAGGAGGAGACGGUGGUUGGCGCUGCGAGGAGGGGUGGGGAAUGCGAGAUCGGACGCUGGAGAAGGCGACGCGGCCCGGGCCGGUGCGAUGGGGAAGACGACGGAUCCGGGCCGUUCGUCGGUCGGGAAGAGAGAGAAGAGAGGAGGCUGCGGGUGGGGCCUCACCCUGCCGGUGGACCCCGUGGGGUUAAAAGUGCCGUGGUGAGCUUCUUCUAGCACCAUGUUAGAUGGGCUUCUUUCGUUGAGGGAUGUUCGGAGGGCUUUUUGGGGGCUCUGUUCUCGAAACAAAAAGAAGCUGCUUGGGCUUCACCACGAAUUUUCAUCUAAUCUAAAAAAAAUACCCCUAAAAAUCACCCAUCGAAAAGCCUAAUAUAAAAAAAUUGAUUCGCAAAAAAUAUCUAAAAACCAUAAAAUUUCUAAAAAAAAAUUGCAGGAUCUAUCUUCGUUUUUUAACACAAUUUCCUAUUGCAAACUAUGUCAAUCAUCAAAUAAUGUAUACAUCAUCCACAAGUUAAUUUUAUGAAUAGCAAAACCAAUUAUUUCAUGCACUACUUUGGCAAUGCUUGAACUGGAUGUUCCGAAUCGAUCAUCAAAUCUACAGUCUGCCUAAAUUGCUGCUCUCAAUCGCCAUCACCAAAUCCUGCAGCUACGCUAUAGGCUUCAGCGAUAGCAGCUUCAGAACAAAGGAGCACGCACCUCCAUUCUAUCUUCUUUAGGCAGCUACGCUAUAGGCUUCAGCGAUAGCAGCUUCAGAACAAAGGAGCACGCACCUCCAUUCUAUCUUCUUUAGGCUGCUCAACACGGCGAAAUACACAGACACCUUCCCACAUUAGGUUGAGAUUUGGUGCAUGGGACCUUGUUUGUUUGGGCUCCAGCUUCUACAGAAUCAGCUGCGGAUUCCUGUGCUGGCAAACCCAAAUCAGAUUUUGGCUAACUAAUCAAAAGCUGAUUCAAAACAACUGUUUGUUUCAGAUAUAGCUUUGAAUCCGGUCCCUAAAGCUGAAACAAACACGGCCAAAUUCUACAUACACAACCAAUGCCCAGGGCAAUUUCAGGACAAGGGAAAUUCAUCUCAAACUGGGGAACAAAACUCAUAACAGUAGCACUUUCCCAUAACAGGAGCAAAAUGUGACAAGGCAUAGUUUUCACCAACACGAUCAUAAGUUAUCAACUUAAAAGUGCUGUAAACACAAAGGUACCAUCCUCCUUCAACAUCUAAAGGCCCGACAUACUGUCUACUCCAUGCAACGGCAAUCUAAGACCUGGGCUUCUCCUUCUUCUCUUUGAAGAGGGCAAGCAGAGAAACACCUGACACCUUGACGACCUUGAACCGGACACCGGGAAUAUCUCCCACAGCAUGUCCCUUACGACCGAAUCCAGCGAUCAGCACCUCGUCCUGGACAACAGGUGAAAGACAAACUUAGUACCUACAGCAGAG